This 339-nucleotide ribosomal RNA is filed under the name uncultured bacterium. RNAcentral describes it as "bacterial SSU rRNA". It matches the Rfam family "Bacterial small subunit ribosomal RNA", at positions 28 to 366 of the family's 1533-position model. The record is from RNAcentral.
GACGAACGCUGGCGGCGUGCUUAACACAUGCAAGUCGAGCGGUAAGGCCCUUUCGGGGGUACACGAGCGGCGAACGGGUGAGUAACACGUGGGUGACCUGCCCUCAGCUCUGGGAUAAGCCUGGGAAACCGGGUCUAAUACCGGAUAUGACUCCAUGACGCAUGUUGUGGGGUGGAAAGCCUUGUGCGGCUGAGGAUGGGGCCCGCGGCCCUAUCAGCUUGUUGGUGGGGUGAUGGCCUACCAAGGCGACGACGGGUAGCCGGCCUGAGAGGGCGACCGGCCACACUGGGACUGAGACACGGCCCAGACUCCUACGGGAGGCAGCAGUGGGGAAUCUUG